UACAGAGGGUGCGAGCGUUAAUCGGAAUUACUGGGCGUAAAGCGUGCGUAGACGGUAGCGUAAGUCAGAUGUGAAAGCCCCGGGCUCAACCUGGGAACUGCAUUUGAGACUGCUCUGCUCGGGUGCGGAAGAGGGAAGCGGAAUUUCCGGUGUAGCGGUGAAAUGCGUAGAGAUGCGGAGGAACACCGAUGGCGAAGGCAGCCCCCUGGGCUAACACUGACGCUCAGGCACGAAAGCGUGGGGAGCAAACAGG
Molecule: ribosomal RNA, 253 nt
Filed under: uncultured bacterium
Lineage: Bacteria
Description: partial 16S ribosomal RNA
Rfam family: Bacterial small subunit ribosomal RNA
Source: RNAcentral